RNAcentral lists this small RNA (477 nucleotides) under Pan troglodytes (chimpanzee). RNAcentral's name for it is "processed transcript". The record is from RNAcentral. Lineage: Eukaryota; Metazoa; Chordata; Mammalia; Primates; Hominidae.
AGGCUUGAGCGAGGGGCUAGAGCCGCGAGGACUGACCAGCACCAGAGGAUACAAGAGGAGGAGAGAGACCUCACUGGUUCGGGCGACAUUUCACCCCCCCCCAGCACCCCAGUCGGCACAGCCUUCGUCUCCUCGUCCUCCAGGCAGCACAAGCCAUUGUGGAAUCUCCACCGGGUGUACAGAACGGUGCCUCUGCGUCCUGCCACUCAGGACCUCUCAAGUCCCCGAUGUGAUGGCUCCUCAGCAUGAUCAGGAACCAAAAAGAAGAAUGUACUUCAUCUGGUUGGGCUGGAUUCCCUCUGAUAAGCCUUCCCAGUUGACUGAAAGAUGAGGCUAGGCUCUAGCAAGUUGAAGUCAAACCAGCUCCUUCAAGAAGCUUUGAGCAGAAUGAAGUGGGGAGGACCCAGCUUCCAGCCUAGGAAGCCCACUGUACCUGGAGCCAUCUGGGAUAAGACUUUGACCCAUGACUCCCAUAUC